AGUGAACGCUGGCGGUAGGCCUAGCACAUGCAAGUCGAACGGCAGCACAGUAAGAGCUUGCUCUUACGGGUGGCGAGUGGCGGACGGGUGAGGAAUACAUCGGAAUCUACUUUUUCGUGGGGGAUAACGUAGGGAAACUUACGCUAAUACCGCAUACGACCUACGGGUGAAAGCAGGGGAUCUUCUGACCUUGCGCGAUUGAAUGAGCCGAUGUCGGAUUAGCUAGUUGGCGGGGUAAAGGCCCACCAAGGCGACGAUCCGUAGCUGGUCUGAGAGGAUGAUCAGCCACACUGGAACUGAGACACGGUCCAGACUCCUACGGGAGGCAGCAGUGGGGAAUAUUGGACAAUGGGCGCAAGCCUGAUCCAGCCAUACCGCGUGGGUGAAGAAGGCCUUCGGGUUGUAAAGCCCUUUUGUUGGGAAAGAAAAGCAGCAGGUUAAUACCCCGCUGUUCUGACGGUACCCAAAGAAUAAGCACCGGCUAACUUCGUG
Molecule: ribosomal RNA, 492 nt
Filed under: uncultured bacterium
Lineage: Bacteria
Description: partial 16S ribosomal RNA
Rfam family: Bacterial small subunit ribosomal RNA
Source: RNAcentral